GAUAUGGGGGCGUGUUGCAAACGGAAAAGAAGCAAUGGGUGUUAUUUUUGGUUCUCAAGCAACCAUUACAUUUUUUUUGAAAGUGAACAAGACUUCAUAUCAAUCUGGAUCAUUCUUCACUCCCUGAAAUCACUGGAACUCCCAUAUUAGGUAAAACAUUAAGACCCAUUAUACACUGUUUUGUUCCUGGGAUGUCAAGAGGAUGGCCACAGGCCCCCAGAGAAUACCACCUGUGUCAGGUUCCAAGGUUGUGGGGGGGCAAGUCGAUAUUACAAUCAUGAAAUCAAUGGAAAUAAACAGCAAGCGACUUUGUGCUGGAAGAGCUUGCUGUCUGUCUGAAGAGCAGGACAGUGAGACGAGAUGACAGACGUGGGGGGUGGGGUCUAUUCACCACUGGACGUGGGAGCAGCAGGGGCCUGUGGUGACCCCUCAAGUCUCACAUAUCCUGAACAGUCCCAAUGGAAGAUUUCAUAACAAUCCACCAUGAGGGACACUUUGUAUGCUGCAGUCUAUUUACAUGAGCAUUUACAUAGCACAGUGUUCCACUAAGGGGACCAAACUAUCUUAACUGUCAGGUAACAUGAUUAAGAUGUGUGAACAGUAAGUUAACAUCAUGUAAUGGUCUUCCUAUUGACAUUAGAUGACUAGCAGUAAUUCUCAUAAAAAUUGUCAAAAUAAAAAAUAUAUAAUUAUUAAAAUUUUAAUAUAAAAUUUAAAAUAAAAUUCUGAAAAGAAUUAUCGAAAUUAUCUUUGAUUCUUACUUCUUUCAUUGCAUGUAGUGUGUAGGCAGAUAUCUUUGGCCCUAAAAUCUGCUAAUAAUAAUAAGUUCUUAAAACAUUAAAUUCUGCAUAACCUCAUAUUUUUACAUAAUGCAAUAUUAUUAUUGUUAUUAUUAGUCGUAGUCGUUGU
Molecule: long non-coding RNA, 909 nt
Organism: Anguilla rostrata (American eel)
Lineage: Eukaryota; Metazoa; Chordata; Actinopteri; Anguilliformes; Anguillidae
Exons: 4
Source: RefSeq, a predicted model, not a curated record